UACGGGGGGGGCAAGCGUUGUUCGGAAUUACUGUGCGUAAAGGGCGCGUAGGCGGCCAUCUAAGUCAGACGUGAAAUCCCUCGGCUCAACCGAGGAACUGCGUCUGAUACUGGAAGGCUUGAAUCCGGGAGAGGGAUGUGGAAUUCCAGGUGUAGCGGUGAAAUGCGUAGAUAUCUGGAGGAACACCGGUGGCGAAGGCGGCAUCCUGGACCGGUAUUGACGCUGAGGCGCGAAAGCUAGGGGAGCAAACGGG
This 253-nucleotide ribosomal RNA is filed under the name uncultured bacterium. Its description in RNAcentral is "partial 16S ribosomal RNA". It matches the Rfam family "Bacterial small subunit ribosomal RNA", at positions 524 to 776 of the family's 1533-position model. The record is from RNAcentral.